This 253-nucleotide ribosomal RNA is filed under the name uncultured bacterium. Its description in RNAcentral is "partial 16S ribosomal RNA". It matches the Rfam family "Bacterial small subunit ribosomal RNA", at positions 524 to 776 of the family's 1533-position model. The record is from RNAcentral.
UACAGGGGGUGCAAACGUUGCUCGGAAUCAUUGGGCGUAAAGCGCACGUAGGCGGAUCUUUAAGUCAGGGGUGAAAUCCCAAGGCUCAACCUUGGAACUGCCUUUGAUACUGGGGAUCUCGAGUCCGGAAGAGGUGAGUGGAACUGCGAGUGUAGAGGUGAAAUUCGUAGAUAUUCGCAAGAACACCAGUGGCGAAGGCGGCUCACUGGUCCGGUACUGACGCUGAGGUGCGAAAGCGUGGGGAGCAAACAGG